UGGGGAAUAUUGGACAAUGGGCGAAAGCCUGAUCCAGCCAUGCCGCGUGUGUGAAGAAGGUCUUCGGAUUGUAAAGCACUUUAAGUUGGGAGGAAGGGCAGUAACCUAAUACGUUUCUGUCUUGACGUUACCGACAGAAUAAGCACCGGCUAACUCUGUGCCAGCAGCCGCGGUAAUACAGAGGGUGCAAGCGUUAAUCGGAAUUACUGGGCGUAAAGCGCGCGUAGGUGGUUUGUUAAGUUGGAUGUGAAAGCCCCGGGCUCAACCUGGGAACUGCAUCCAAAACUGGCAAGCUAGAGUACGGUAGAGGGUGGUGGAAUUUCCUGUGUAGCGGUGAAAUGCGUAGAUAUAGGAAGGAACACCAGUGGCGAAGGCGACCACCUGGACUGAUACUGACACUGGGGUGCGAAAGCGUGGGAGCAAACAGGAUUAGAUACCCACGUAGUCCCUGAGCGGGCUGGCAAGGCGCAU
Molecule: ribosomal RNA, 471 nt
Filed under: uncultured bacterium
Lineage: Bacteria
Description: bacterial SSU rRNA
Rfam family: Bacterial small subunit ribosomal RNA
Source: RNAcentral